CAGGAAAGUCCCACCAUAGAAAAGCCAUGCAGCGAAGCUGAAGAAGUCCACAAGAGUUGUAAAACUGCUUGUUUCUGGGAUCAACAUGAUGACUGAGACAAGAGUCUGUGAAAAAGAGGUUGGCAAAGUGGAAUGAAAAAGACAAAGUAUAAGCAAAGGAAACAAACUUACAGUGAAGAGAAGUGAUGGAAGUGGCGUAAACCGUUUGACGUGGAUCAUGGCUAGCAGCGAAGGCAUGAGGUUGUCGCGUGCCGCAACAUACAACAACCUACAAAACAACCAAAAAUACAAAAUGAUUUAAAACAAGAGGGGCCAGUACACAGCUCUUAUUUGAUUGGGCAAAUGAACAAUAUCCGCACCUCGACACAAAGAACGAGAAGAA
Molecule: long non-coding RNA, 382 nt
Organism: Nematostella vectensis (starlet sea anemone)
Lineage: Eukaryota; Metazoa; Cnidaria; Anthozoa; Actiniaria; Edwardsiidae
Exons: 2
Source: RefSeq, a predicted model, not a curated record